AGUUUGAUUAUGGCUCAGGAUGAACGCUGGCGGCGUGCUUAACACAUGCAAGUCGAACGGACGCCACUUGAAGUGGAAGGAGCUUGCUCCGGAAGCGGAAGAGUGAUGUUAGUGGCGGACGGGUGAGUAACGCGUGGGUAACCUGCCUCACAUUGGGGGAUACCAGUCGGAAACGACUGCUAAUACCGCAUAAGACCACGGUAUCGCAUGAUACUGAGGCCAAAAACUCCGGUGAUGUGAGAUGGACCCGCGUCUGAUUAGGCAGUUGGCGGGGUAACGGCCCACCAAACCGACGAUCAGUAGCCGACCUGAGAGGGUGAUCGGCCACAUUGGGACUGAGACACGGCCCAAACUCCUACGGGAGGCAGCAGUGGGGAAUAUUGCACAAUGGGGGAAACCCUGAUGCAAGCGACGCCGCGUGAGUGAUGAAGUAUUUCGGUACGUAAAGCUCUAUCAGCAGGAACGAUAAUGACGGUACCUGACUAAGAAGCACCGGCUAAAUACGUGCCAGCCGCGGC
Molecule: ribosomal RNA, 518 nt
Filed under: uncultured bacterium
Lineage: Bacteria
Description: bacterial SSU rRNA
Rfam family: Bacterial small subunit ribosomal RNA
Source: RNAcentral